CGUCACAAAGCUGCUCAGCGCCUAGACGUCCUCUGCUCCGAUCUGGGCUGAACCCAGAAGACAUCCAGGACUUUGAGUCCUCUGCCGUAGAAGGUACAGUGAAACAAUCGUGUUUUGUACCUGUUGUUGGGGAAAGGCCCGCUUUCUUUCUUUUUUUUUUUUAACAUGUAUUUAUUCUUGAGAGACAGAGCACGGGCGGGGGACGGGCAGAGAAAGAGGAGACACAGAAUCUGACACAGAGCCCGACGUGGGGCUCGAACUCACAAACUGUGAGAUCAGGACCUGAGCCGAGUCGGACGCUCAACCCACUGGGCCACCCAAGCGCCACCCCCCCCCCCCCCCCCAAAAAGGCCCACUUUCUGAAGAAAAAGCGAUUGGGGCUGACUCCGCAGCAUUCUGACAGGGUCAACGCAGCCACACUCGUGAGGGCGCUCAGCAGAUACCAGGCCACAAAAGCAAGGGCCCCUUGGGUCUUAGCUCAGGAGGCAAAAGGAUCCAGUUUCAAAUUUCAACUCCAGCGCUUAGGGCCUCCAUCAUUUUCCUCUCCAUUUCUUAGCCUCUUGAGCCUCGAUCUCCCCAUCUGUAAAAUGGGGUCAUAGUGCGUGCCGGGGAGGAAUAAACACAAUCAUAACUCGGCUCCAGUGCUCAGUCAGCAGCCCCAGCUUUGAUCACGGGUCGCUAGCAACACGUGGAAAGCACCGUAAUUCCACCCGACCACAAGCAUUUAAGUCAGCUCGCUGCAAUCUGCCUUUCACCCACACUUCUUGGUGCCCUUACGCUCUGGAACCUAGCCUGCACCCCAGGCCCAGGCAAGAGUGGAGUCCAGGAAGUGUCUGUGGACCAUCCCGGGCGUGUGGUCUCCCCUUCCAGAGCUCUGCGAGGCUGGGUGAGGGGCCAGACGGAGCUGUGUGGACCACUGGGUCCGCUGCUCCCAUGGCCCAUCUCACCAGGCUAUGAGCCCCCCGACAGGGUAAGGCCUGGACCCAUGACAGCCAGUGCGGAAAACCACCUUGAGCAGGGAGUGAGUACUCCCUAAUUGUCGGCUGCAUGACUGCAUUCUCGUUGGUUAGUUUUCGUGGUAAAUUUUAAACCUACGUAUGUUAGAUGCAUAUAAACUUACAUACGUUAUACAAAAUAAUUAUUUCCCGUGAAAUGUCUGAAUUAAGGUGAAAACAGACAAACUGUGAAUAUCGUUCUUCAAGAUCACGGUCAUGAGAUGAAUCACUGCUGUGACUUUGCAGAAGGAGGUUGAAACUUGUACACAGGGUGGAAACAGGUAUGAGCCUAGGGGUUUUUCUUAAAAGAUGAGCGAGGCUUGAUUUUAUCGUCCCUGUUGCUAUAGAAGCUAAUGUUUAGGAGCCAGAUAACAUCAGAAAGGCCACAGAUGCGGGGCGCCUGGGUGGCUCAGUCGGGUUAAGCCUCCAACUUCGGCUCAGGUCAUGACCUCGAAGUGUGUGAGUUCGAGCCCCGCGUUGGGCUGUGUGCUGACAACUCAGAGCCUGGAGCCUGCUUCCGAUUCUGCGUCCCCCUCUGUCUAUCCCUCCCCCACUUGUGCUGCCUCUCUCUCUCAAAAAUAAACAGACAUUAAACUUUUAAAAAAGAAAGGGCACAGAUGCCAUUUUUAAGUCCUGACACCCGAAAAAUUCUUGAAAACCUAUUUAGGGAUCAGUGCUCUCCAGAUGAGUAAAAAUACUAGAAACCGAAAGAAGACAAAACCUCAGCCCUUAUUUUGAGGGGCCAGCCUUCAUCCAACGGUACCAGGUGAGACUUGGUACCUGGGCAGUGUUGUUCAUUUGAUCUUUUCCAGGAAAGUCACCACAAACCGCCCCCUUCUGUACCCUCCUGAGCCCCUGCACCCUCCUGCACCCCUGCACCCUCCUGCACUUCUGCACCAUCCUGCACCCUCCAGCACCCCUGCACCCUCCUGCACCCCUGCAUCCUCCCGCACCCUCCUGAGCCCUUGCUCCUGCACCCUCCAGCACUCUCCUGAGCCCUUGCACGCUCCUGCACCCCUGCACCCUCCUGUACUCCUGCACCCUCCAGUACCCUCCUUGCACCCUCCAGCACCCCGGCACCCUCCUGAGCCCCUGCACGCUCCUGCACCCCUGCACCUUCCAGCACCCCUGCACCCUCCAGCACCCCUGCACCCUCCUGAGCCCCUGCACCCUCAAGUACCCUCCUUGCACCCUCCAGCAUUCCGGCACCCUCCAGCACCCCUGCACCGAGUACCCUCCCUGCACCCUUCUUCACCCCUGCACCCUCCUGAGCCCCUGCACGCUCCUGCACCUCUGCACCCUCCUGUACUCCUGCACCCUCCAGUACCCUCCUUGCACCCUCCAGCACCCCUGCACCCUCCUGCCAGGGGAGAUCCUAUCUGCACUGUGUCCAGAACUCACGCCCGCCACCAUCGACACGCCAGAACAGAAGCCCAGAGCCUCGCCUUCCCUCCUUAGCAGGAUCCAAGGUCCAGGAAAAUCCAAACCCUCUGGUACCACGUUCCAUUCCUGAAGAGUUUUCUUUCCGGUAUUUCCUUCAGGAGACUGUUUGUGUCCGGGGCAAUGCCUCCCCACUCCACACAGCGGCAUUGACACCCCCGGAAGGGUGGACGUGGGGUACCAGUGCUCCUGCUUUGGGGUGCAAUCUUGACAGCCAGCUCUCUACCGGGGUCCCUCAGCAACGGUAAGAGGCUGAAGACCCCAGCCCCACCCAUGCCUCGCGGUGUUUACAGAGAUAAAGUGACGAAAGAGAGGAGAGCACAGGGCACAGGGCAGGUCCAGAAGCCUGCAAGUCAGCACAGCACGCCUGGACUGUGGCCCCUUCUCUGCUGGGCCGGCUCUGGGUUGCAGGGACAUCCUGUUCCCCUUGCUGUUAGGGACGAGUUCAACCCCCCGCCCCCCACCCCGCGUCCCCUCUGUGUCUUCACUGAUGAGAACAUCCAAAGCCGACUUCCAGGAGGAAAGCGUCUCUCCUCGCGAGAUUCUGGGAUGUAGAGCCUUUAGUGAAAGAGUCCAUUAAGUAACUCUUGGGGAAAAUGAGCCUCCGUACCUCUGUCACUGUCAGGCUUCUGCUUCUAAUGGCCACGCACGACUGUUCCCUCCUUAAACACUAACUCCCCGUGCAAUUAAUUUCAGCUGCCCGUGUCUCACGAAAGCUAAAACGAUUUCAAUGCAUUAUUUAAAAGUCAUCAUGGUAAGUAAUGACAACCGCACCGGCUCCUUUCGUAAAUAUACUUCGGAGGCCGCUAUUCUGCAGAUGAGCUUUCGCAUUGCUGUGUCAUUUGCAGUGCGCUCGGAUGCCGCGUCCAUCACGUAAAAAAAAAAAUGCCGUUAAAAGUAAUAUCUGCAGGGGCGCCUGGGUGGCUCAGUCGGUUAAGCGUCCGACCUGAGUUCAGGUCACGAUGGUGAGUUCGAGCCCCGUGUGAGGCUGUCUGCUGUCAGCACAGGGCCUGCUUCGGAUCCUCUGUCCCCGCCCCCAUCUCUCGCCGCCCCUCCCCCGCUCAAAGAUAAAUAAACAGCAAAAAAAAUAAUAAUAAUAAUGUCUGCAAAUAAUCGUGACACCUGUUAUGCUGGGGACGCUCCCCCAGGUGGGUGUGCCGGGAAGACUUGGAACGUGAUUCUUGUCCUCAGAUGGCUGACAUUCUAGGGGGUGAAGCAAGGGGAAGGUAUCACGUUGACGCUGAACUCCGGUGUGAAACGUCCCUCAGUUUGACCAAACGGAAAGUCAUGAAUUUAAGUUCACGUUUUCCAUGCCACUCCAGCCUGGGAGUAAAAGCAUGGCACUCUGUCUCAGUGCGUGUCAUCAGAAGACGCCCAGUCCCCCCCCCUCGAUCUCCCUCUCUUGCCCUUUCUGAGAUUUCCUUGGGAGGCGAGCUGAUACGACUGUGCUAACUGCUCUGUUUUCUCCUUCACUUCCACCCCGUCCCCCCCCCCCCCCCCCCCCCCCCCCCCCCCUCCGNNNNNNNNNNNNNGGGCUCAGCAUGGCGGCCGCAGCGGCUGGCCCCCGUCCUGCUGACCCCCGUUGUGGCGCCCCAUUCUCAAUGGCCAUCAGAUACUUGGUGACAUGGCUCCCCAGUGUCUACUCCCACUCAGACACCCGGGGGGGGGGGCUGAUCUGAGGGGCUGAUCCUGAGGGGCCUCAGAAUCCCCUUCUCACCUCACGCUGGUUCUCUCUCCCGGUGUGGACCCCCCCACCCCCGAACCUCAAAGUGCUGGGAAAUCUGCCUUGGAAUCCGUUUGCUACCACAGAGUGAGGGGUUUCUUGCAGAAGUUUUGAAUAAUGGCCACCUCCCCCGGAAAUUCACUCCGGGCCUCAAUUCUGCUCCGCUUGCUUCCGUCUGAGCAAGUCACUGGGAUGACGGAAUGAGGGGCUGGAGAGUCGGAAUGAGGCGAAGUCCUCUGAGGCAGACACCGUGGGUUACUCACACACGAAUCCGUGCCUCUGUCCACCUUUCUUGCAGGCAGAACCCCACUUUUACUUGGGGGUGCCCUCUGCCUGGCGACUAUGUGCUCAGGGAAAGUGACUCUACACUCAGCUUAAGGGAAGAUUGGUCUGAGCCACAAAAUUAAUCAAUUCUCCUGGCCCGGGAUUUGUUUAGGGAAGGGUCCUGAGACCCAAGGGAAGGGUUUCCCGGAGAGGAAUAAAUGGAUGGGCUUUGGAAGAUCUUCCUUAUGUUUUAACGUUGGAUCAUACAGCUCUCCUUUGCUGCUUCUGAAUUUCAGUGAAUGAAGAUGUGAUGGCUGGAGUGGCUGCAGCCACCUUGACACCAUGUUGAGAGCCCACUCACCCACUGAGGACAGCAGGAGGGAAGUAUGAAGGGUCUCAGAUGACACUGUGGCGCUGCUGACAUACCCAACCCGGGCACCACCUGACCUCAGGACUUGCAGCAAAUGACAUGCCCUUUACUUGGGGUUUCGGCUACUUGUGGCUAAAACCUCUCAGCUGAUAAGGUGCCUCAGACACCACCCCACCCCUUCAUUGUACGAAACACGUAGGGCUCCCCACCAGAGCUGCCGUGUGAGGGAAACCAUCAACCACCCCGUGCCAACAGAUCACAGGCAGAUCGAGACCCACCUCGGUUGGCCCCGGCUGGGGGGACAGAAGGACUAACGUCUCGGCUCCUGGUUUAACAAUUACCACCGGGGAGGUCAGGACAUUCUGGCCAGGAGGGUGAGGCACACCUCGAGGGUAAUUCCAAGUAAGCAGCUGAGAACGCCAUUAACGGUGAAGCCCUUUACCAGCGCUCAUUUUCUGAAAAGAAAUGAUUAAGAUAGUAUUACUUGGGACCAUUCACGGAGCGUUUGUUUUAUGCUGAGCUAUGAAUUACGCACUUGACAGACUCACGUCAUGUAAUCCUCUCUGAAAGGCCAUGAGGUAGAUGGGUUCAUCCUGCCGGUGCUGAUGUGGACCUUCACGACACAGGCAGACAAACAGAUGAGUAGACAGACAGACAGUCACAAGAACAAUCACGGAGCACUUACGGGGCGCCGAGCGCUGGGCUGAAUGCACGGGGUAGACAUCCGGUCUGUGCCUCAUAAUAAACGUCGAGGGAUAGGGACUAUGUUUGUCACAGGCUUGGAAACCUUCGGGCAGUCUGACUUCAGAACCAGCCCCCCUACCGUGGGGCAGCCCUUCACAGCCUGGAACCGGGACCUGGCACAGGGAGAGUGUUCCAGAAUAGCUGUGAAGUCAAUGAGCUUGAAAUGAAGGCAGGGUCCGCACCGUCGCAGCUCAGAGACAUGGCAUGAGAGCACCCCAAACCAGUGCCUCCCCCACCCCACCCCCACCCAUCUGGGGUCCGCUUUUCUAGUAAGUUCCCCAUGAUGCCAUUGCUGCUGUUCCCUGAAUGUCGAAGCGUCAAAGCCACGCACUCCAAAGUAACUGCCCAACCUUGGCCUGUUGUCACGCCCGCGCCCCAGCAGGCUCGUGCCUGAGCUACGCUACUGACCUACCUCUGGAGCCGUGGCUCUCCACGGCUUCCAGAAAACAAUGGUAGUGUCCUGAGACACCUUUGCUUGUCACAACUAAGAAGGUGGGGCACAGCCCACAACAGAGGACAGUCUGGCCCAGAACACCCGUAGUGCCUAAGCAGAGGACCCCUCCUCUAUGGCCUUCAUACUGGCGGCUCCCUUUCCCUAGAACACCUUCCCCCGGGGCAGCUUCCUGGCCGUAUCUCUCCCCAACUUCCCGUCUUUCCGCCCACACCUUCCCGUUUUCAUUAAAACCCCCUUCCGGGGCGCCUGGGUGGCGCAGUCGGUUAAGCGUCCGACUUCAGCCAGGUCACGAUCUCGCGGUCCGUGAGUUCGAGCCCCGCGUCGGGCUCUGGGCUGACGGCUCGGAGCCUGGAGCCUGUUUCCGAUUCUGUGUCUCCCUCUCUCUCUGCCCCUCCCCCAUUCAUGCUCUGUCUCUCUCUGUCCCAAAAAUAAAUAAAAAAUGUUGAAAAAAAAAUUUAACAAAAAUAGCAAAAGGUUGUAGGACAUCAAGUUCAUUACCCUUUGUUGGUAACAAAAAAUUUUGCAUGCAGGACGAUAGUUUUAAAUAGUAGCCGGUUGGGGCGCCUGAGUGGCUCAGUCGGUUAAGCGUCUGACUGCAGCUCAGGUCACGAUCUCGCGGUCCGUGAGUUCGAGCCCCACAUCGGGCUCUGUGCUGACUGCUCAGAGCCUGGAGCCUGUUUCAGAUUCUGUGUCUCCCUCUCUCUCUGCCCCUCCCCCGUUCAUGCUCUGUCUCUCUCUGUCUCAAAAAUAAAAUAAACCUUAAGAAAGGUUUUAGGGGCGCCUGGGUGGCGCAGUCGGUUAAGCGUCCGACUUCAGCCAGGUCACGAUCUCGCGGUCUGGGAGUUCGAGCCCCGCGUCAGGCUCUGGGCUGAUGGCUCAGAGCCUGGAGCCUGUUUCCGAUUCUGUGUCUCCCUCUCUCUCUGCCCCUCCCCCGUUCAUGCUCUGUCUCUCUCUGUCCCAAAAAAAAAAAAAAAAAAAAAAAAAAAAAACGUUGAAGAAAACCCCCUUCCUACUCUCUCUGCCCUUCCCUGCGUCACUCUUACCCGUGACAUACUUUGUAUUUUAUUCCCACGGACGUAAAAUGAACUUAUGCUCAAUUAUGUAUUGAUUGUCUGUCUCCCCCCUGUGUAUGAGUUUCCUGUUGCCACUAUAACAAGUUACCCCAGACUCAGUGGCUUAAAACAACGCAAAUGUAUUAUCUUACAGUUCUCAAAUCACAAGUCCUAAAAUCAAGGUGUCGGGAAAGGCUGCGUUCUUUCUGGAGGGUCUAGGGGAGAAUCCGUCCCUAGACCCUCGUCCAGCUUCUGGUGCCUACCCAUAUGCCUUCACUCGGGGCCACUUUCAUUGCCAAAGUCGGCAGCACAGCGUCUUCAAAAUUGUUUUAAAUGCUUAUUUAUUUUUGCCAGAGAGAGACCGAAAGAGAGAGAGAGAGAGAGCACACAGGGGAGCAGCAGAGAGAGAGCGAUAGAGAAUCUCAGGCAGUCUCCUGUGCUGUCAGUGCAGAAGUAGACUCGGGGCUCGAUCUCACGAACCGCGAGAUCACGACUGGAGCCGAAAUCACGUUGGAAGCCCCACCGACUGAGUCACCCAGGUGCCCCAGUGUCUUAAAAAAAAUUUUGUAAUUUUUUAAAUGUUUAUAUUUGAGAGAGAGAGACAGAGUGCGAGCAGGGGAGGGGCAGAGAAUAUUUAUAUUUGAGAGAGAGAGAGAUGUGAGCAGGGGAGGGGCAGCAAGAGAGUGGGACACAAAUCGGAAGCAGGCUCCAGGCUCCGAGCUGUCAGCACAGAGCCCAGCGCGGGGCUCGAACUCACGAACCGGGAGAUCAUGACCUGAGCCGAAGUCGGACGCUCAACCGACUGAGCCACCCAGGCGCCCAUUAAAAAUUUUUAAUGGGAAAAAAAAAAAACCUGUAAAGCUCAUUAUCGAACAAGUAAUUGGUAUCAUCCUCAAGGAUCCUUAUUAACACAGUUCCAUGCAGUUUGAUGAAAUGAUAGAUUAUAUCAGUUUAUAGAAAAGUGCUAUUCUUUGACCGCUGCAUUUGAACAGUCACGGAAAAUGAUGUCCCGAGUAUAUUUCAUUAAGUUGUUAAUGAGCUUCUGUUAUCCGCCUUAAUUGCCACAGCUCGGCUCACAAGUGCUAAAACCCCAUUUGAGGUGUCCUUUGGUAAAACGCGAGGGUAGAGCAGGUCUGGGAGAGAAGAACCAGCCCGAUCGGUUGACCAAGAAUUUCUAACAUUUCUUCCUUCAUUUCUCAGGCCUCAGGUUUUCACACCAUCAGGAACAGGACGGAUGCCAUGGUGCUGUUCUUUACUGCAACCGAUUAGUGUCACAGUAAACUCAGGGCUCUUGUCCUAACUUCAGGCUAUUGGCCGAAUGAAAGUGUUUGAGGGGCGCCUGGGUGGCUCAGGCGGUCGAGCGGCGGGCUCCAGGUUUCGGCUCAGCUCAUGAGCUCACAGUUCGUGAGCUCUGAGCCCCGAGCCUGGCGUGGAGCCUGCUUGGGAUUCCACCUCUCUGUCCCUCCCCCUGUUUGCUCUUGCUCUGUCUCUC
RNAcentral lists this long non-coding RNA (8534 nucleotides) under Lynx pardinus (Iberian lynx). The stretch from base 6553 to 6637 matches the Rfam family "tRNA". Lineage: Eukaryota; Metazoa; Chordata; Mammalia; Carnivora; Felidae. The record is from RNAcentral.